GACGAACGCUGGCGGCGUGCUUAACGCAUGCAAGUCGAACGGAAAGGCCCUUCGUGGUCCUCGAGUGGCGAACGGGGGAGUAACACGUGGGUGAUCUUCACCGCACUUUGGGAUUAGCCUGGGUAACUGGGUCCAAUACCGAAUAGGACCACGCUCUUCAACGUGUUGGGUGGAUAGUUUUUGCGGUGUUAGCUGGGCCGGCGGCCUAUCAGCUUGUUGGUGGGGGAAUGGCAUACCAAGGCGACGAGUGGUAGCCGGCCUGCGAGGGGGACCGGCCACACGGGGACUGAGAUAGGGCGCAGACGCGUACGGGACGCAGCAGUGGGAAGUAUUGCAGAGUAGGGGCAAGCCAGAUACAAAGACCCCGGGUGCGGGAUGACGUCUUUCGGGUUAUAAACCACUUUCAAAGGGAACGUGGCGGAAGUGACGGUACCUAUAGAAGAAGCACCGGCCAACUACGUG
This 462-nucleotide ribosomal RNA is filed under the name uncultured bacterium. RNAcentral's name for it is "partial 16S ribosomal RNA". It matches the Rfam family "Bacterial small subunit ribosomal RNA", at positions 28 to 507 of the family's 1533-position model. The record is from RNAcentral.